RNAcentral lists this small RNA (553 nucleotides) under Pan troglodytes (chimpanzee). RNAcentral describes it as "processed transcript". Lineage: Eukaryota; Metazoa; Chordata; Mammalia; Primates; Hominidae. The record is from RNAcentral.
GUGCGUCUGUGGUGUCAGACACCUGUGUCUCAGCUCUGUCUUCCUCGGGCUAGCUCCUGCGGAUCCUUCCUGGGCAGAACCGUGCCUCUAGGCCACCUCCCCCAAGCCACCAAGCCCCCGCGGUGGGCCAGCCUUGGCCCAGUGUCACGCAGGACAGAAAUGACCAACAGAUAACUGAGGACAAUGGACCUGCCUGGGCAUAGACUUCCUUAAGAGAUGUGUGCACAGACCCAGGCCAUGCAGAUACUAGUGCCUCUAACUUCGUCAGCCCAGAACACCUCACCUCUGGCCCCCAGCACAGGAAAGCAGCGUGGUCAGGAGGGGUUAAACUUCGGCUGAAGCACAGGCGCAGUGAGCCUGCAGGCCGACCUCACUCGUGGCACACAACUAAAUCUGGGGAGAAGCAACCCGAUGCCAGCAUGAUGCAGAUAUCUCAGGGUAUGAUCGGCCCUCCUUGGCACCAAAGCUACCAUUCCAGCUCCUCUACUAGUGACCUCUCCAACUAUGACCAUGCUUAUCUAAGGCGGAGCCCUGACCAGUGCAGCUCCCAGGG